Molecule: ribosomal RNA, 1014 nt
Filed under: Triticum aestivum (bread wheat)
Lineage: Eukaryota; Viridiplantae; Streptophyta; Magnoliopsida; Poales; Poaceae
Description: partial small subunit ribosomal RNA
Source: RNAcentral
AUGGACGAUGAACUGCAGAAGCGUACCGCUGGCUUUGCGGAAGGUAUGGUGGUUAUGGUAUGCCCGGUGCUUGUAGCAAUUGCUCUUGACAAGGUUGACCUCAAAGUGUAUGGACACCACGCUUUCUCCGCCAUGCUCACCAUGGCAGCUGUCACUUUGAUAAUCGGUAUCUGCCCCUUCCUCAUCUGCUGGUUCUCCAGGACAUUCGUCAGGCCUGUCCCGGUAACCGCGAUCCUGGCAACCCUUUCCUCUUGUUCCCUCCUCAUCCUCACCUGCUUCAUCGCACAGCUCGUUGUCCCCAAAAACACUUUAAUCAUCUUGGGCGUGGUAUUUGGAUUCCUUGUCCUGCUUCGAGCAGUCGAGUACUACCGUCGAGGGGAUUUUGAUCGGUAUCCACAAGACAAGAUACUCAAUGAAUCACAUGAGUUCUUGACGGGUGUCACUGGAGUUCUCUUUCUGGGGCUGGAAGGUCUGGCACUAGAAGGUCAUGACGAUCCGAUGUUUGAAAAGGGUGGGGCCGUGGCGGUCGCCAGCUUCAUAGUUUGCUGUGCUGGCGUGUGCAUGAUGUAUCUCGAGAUGACCCCCCCUAUAGAUUUCAAAGAUGAGAAACAUGUUGUGAGUUUAACUCUGACGCUAGAUAGCAUCAUGGCUGGUGGUACCUUCACGCUCUUGAUGGUCGUCAUGUUUCAGCUCAUGGGGCCUCCAGCCCUGGUGCUCUUCCUACCCCCGGUUCUAAUCAUCGGCGACCUUGUGUACCGGGUGACCGUCCACGACACCGCAGCUGGCGACGACCAAGUGUCCGAACCGGCGGCUUCGCUUGAACUGACAAAAGUCACCUUCAUCCGGGUUCUUGGCUGUGUCAAUAACAGCCAUCCGCAACACUUCGCCCAGCAAGUUGACCGGCUGUUUCCUACUAUUCGCGGCAGCAGCUAUUGUGUUCGGUCUCUCAUGGAGGCUUCUGUCACAGACCCACGUAAGGAUUUCUUUGAGCGGUGUUUCACAUCGUCAUUUUGA